This 460-nucleotide ribosomal RNA is filed under the name uncultured bacterium. RNAcentral describes it as "SSU rRNA". It matches the Rfam family "Bacterial small subunit ribosomal RNA", at positions 26 to 518 of the family's 1533-position model. The record is from RNAcentral.
AGAAUCAACGCUGGCGGCGUGCCUAACACAUGCAAGUCGAACGAGAAAGUGGAGCAAUCCAUGAGUAAAGUGGCGCACGGGUGAGUAACACGUGACUAACCUACCCUGGAGUGGGGGAUAACUGAGGGAAACCUUAGCUAAUACCGCAUAAUACCUACGGGUCAAAGGAGCAAUUCGCUUCAGGAGGGGGUCGCGGCCGAUUAGUUAGUUGGCGGGGUAAUGGCCCACCAAGACAGUGAUCGGUAUCCGGCCUGAGAGGGCGCACGGACACACUGGAACUGAAACACGGUCCAGACUCCUACGGGAGGCAGCAGUGGGGAAUUUUGCGCAAUGGGGGAAACCCUGACGCAGCAACGCCGCGUGGAGGAUGAAGUCCUUCGGGACGUAAACUCCUUUCGAUCGGGACGAUUAUGACGGUACCGGAAGAAGAAGCCCCGGCUAACUUCGUGCCAGCAGCCGC